AAAGCGCACACCGAGUCCGAUCCGAGUCUUGUGUUCGAUUUCAUGCGUGGAAGCGAAGGGUUGGGACGAAGAACGGAAGAAGGCGCGACGAAGUCGAGGCGAUCGUUUGAUGGAUCUCUCCCUACGAUCUAAGCCCACGGUAUCGUCUUUUUUGACCAAAAAUUUCCUCUAUUUUCACCAUGUUUUCCCCGUCUUUCUUCGUCGCUCGAUCUCCUCUGUCUAUCGGCGUCCAUAUGAGAAGAUGUGGAACUUAAUUUCUUGACGGAGGAAACAGAAGAGGGUUAAGGCAAUGAGGAAGAAGCUCGGCGCUCGAUUCCCUGCGAAGAUAAUGCAAGCAGAUGAAGACGUUAGGAAAAUUGCUCUAGCUGUGCCUCUUCUUGUGUCAAAAGCAUUGGAGUUAUUCUUGCAAGACCUCUGUCAUAGGACGUAUGAAAUUAUUCUUCAAAGAGGAGCUAAGACAUUAAAUUCUUCACAUUUGUAAGUACAAAUUAUAGUUUCUUUUCUUUUGUGUAUCUACAGUGGAAUAGUUUGACAGUAAAUCUGAGAUACAGUUUGCCUUUUUUAAUCAUAAGUAAAAAAUAUUUAUUGUCUGUU
Zingiber officinale is the source of this 594-nucleotide long non-coding RNA. RefSeq lists it as uncharacterized. NCBI's taxonomy places the organism in Eukaryota, Viridiplantae, Streptophyta, Magnoliopsida, Zingiberales, Zingiberaceae. The record is from RefSeq and is a predicted model, not a curated record. The transcript is spliced from 3 exons.